AGAGUUUGAUUCUGGCUCAGAUUGAACGCUGGCGGCGUGCUUAACACAUGCAAGUCGAACGUGAAAGUCCUUCGGGACGAGUAAAGUGGCGAACGGGUGAGUAACGCGUGGAUAAUCUACCCUUAAGAUGGGGAUAACGGCUGGAAACGGUCGCUAAUACCGAAUACGCUCCCGAUUUUAUCGUUGGGGGGAAAGAUGGCCUCUGCUUGCAAGCUAUCGCUUAAGGAUGAGUCCGCGUCCCAUUAGCUAGUUGGCGGGGUAACGGCCCACCAAGGCAACGAUGGGUAGCCGGUCUGAGAGGAUGACCGGCCACACUGGAACUGGAACACGGUCCAGACUCCUACGGGAGGCAGCAGUGGGGAAUAUUGCGCAAUGGGCGAAAGCCUGACGCAGCGACGCCGCGUGAGGGAUGAAGGUUCUCGGAUCGUAAACCUCUGUCAGGGGGGAAGAAACCCCCUCGUGUGAAUAAUGCGAGGGCUUGACGGUACCCCCAAAGGAAGCACCGGCUAACUCCGUGCCAGCAGCCGCGGUAAUACGGAGGGUGCAAGCGUUAAUCGGAAUCACUGGGCGUAAAGCGCACGUAGGCGGCUUGGUAAGUCAGGGGUGAAAUCCCACAGCCCAACUGUGGAACUGCCUUUGAUACUGCCAGGCUUGAGUACCGGAGAGGGUGGCGGAAUUCCAGGUGUAGGAGUGAAAUCCGUAGAUAUCUGGAGGAACACCGGUGGCGAAGGCGGCCACCUGGACGGUAACUGACGCUGAGGUGCGAAAGCGUGGGUAGCAAACAGGAUUAGAUACCCUGGUAGUCCACGCUGUAAACGAUGGGUGCUGGGUGCUGGGAUGUAUGUCUCGGUGCCGUAGCUAACGCGAUAAGCACCCCGCCUGGGGAGUACGGUCGCAAGGCUG
This 903-nucleotide ribosomal RNA is filed under the name human gut metagenome. Its description in RNAcentral is "bacterial SSU rRNA". It matches the Rfam family "Bacterial small subunit ribosomal RNA", at positions 8 to 896 of the family's 1533-position model. The record is from RNAcentral.